RNAcentral lists this long non-coding RNA (244 nucleotides) under Elaeis guineensis (African oil palm). RNAcentral describes it as "long non-coding RNA (EGUI_LNC079990)". The record is from RNAcentral. Lineage: Eukaryota; Viridiplantae; Streptophyta; Magnoliopsida; Arecales; Arecaceae.
GGAUGUUGUUCUAGAUGAGCAGGGUGAAGUAUCUUAGGUAGCUAGGAUUUGGGGGCGCUCCAAUGUUGAUGAGAUUACAUCAGAAGAAGAAGCUACAUUGGUUGCUAUAAAAAAAUUAUAGCAAAAAUUUAAAUUUGAAAUCGAGGAUUUUAAUUUUACUAAUAAAGAGUAUUUUAAAUAUCUAUAUCUAAAACAUAUAAUGAGCAUGCAAAUCUUGAAACUGAUCUCAAUCAACCGAAGUGGG